UGGUGGUGGCGGUGGGGGCUGAUGGGCACCCCGCGGCCCGCCAGGAAGCGGUCCUCCCCGCUGCAGCUGCCGGCGCUGACGGCGCAGGGCUGGAAAGUUGUAAUCCCGUGGUCGGGGUGGUAGGCGCGGGCGGCGCAGCCCCCCGCUUCGCCGCCGAGGACGGGGUACUCGAGGAAGGAGCUCAUCCUCGCCGCGUCCCUCUGUCACGCCGCCACCGGGUCUUCAGCGUCCUGCGGGGCCGCGCCAACUUUCCCACUUCCUCCAUGGGGCCGGCAGGAAAAUGACACGAAGGUACAGGCAGCGGGCAGGCACGUGGGGGGCGGCAGCCAAUGGCUGCGGCGCCUGCGGGACUUUCCCGGCUCCUGCCGCUGAUAGAUCGCCGCGUCGGGGGCAUUUAAACGCCGAGCGCUCCGACGGCGCGGCGCGGCGCGGAACCUCGGGGCAGGGCGGCGGCGGCCCCCCGGGGGGCGGCGGGGCGGGGGAGGGGGGGGGCUGUCAUCCCGCCGCCGGGGUCCCGCCUGCCGGCUGAAAGGGGAAGGCAAGGAGAGACCCUGCGGCUGCGCCCGACUCGCGGAGCCCACCGGCCGUGCCCUCCAGGGUGAGUGCUGCUGCGGCAGCGAGGGUGCCCCGGCGCCUCCCCUGAUGUCGGCGCUGUCAGGACAGCGCUGGACACCUCCGUCGCUGCCCCCCUCCGUCCCCUGUAGCCCCCUAUCUCCCGGCCGGGACGCGGGAGGGGCGGCUGGAUCCGCGGUGCAAGGGGGGGCUGGAGGGGCAGCGUUGAGACCGUCGGCCCUGGGGACAGGGAUGAGGAUGGGACCGCGGAUGUGGUUUGGGACUGCUACGGGGAUGGAGACAGGGACGGGGAUGAUCAUAAGGCGGAGAAUGGGGAUGGGGCCGACGAUGGGGAUGGGGAUGGAGAUGGGUUGGGGAUGGGGCCGAGGCAUCUCGCUGCAUCUGCCCCCGCCGCAGUCCCAGCGCGACGCGACGCCAAGAGUUAAAGGGGCUUGUCCAGCCGCAUCACCAGGAGGCCGCGGACAUUAGCAUGGAAAUGAGCCGCUUUUGGGACUGACGGCCAUUGUGCUCUCCCGGGCCCGCCGGCCUCCCCCUGGCCCGCAUCCCUGCUCCCCCCGCACCUCCGCCGGGCUCACCCGCGCCAGCCCGGGGCUGGGGUAGGGGAGGAGGAGCCAGGGGCAGGGGAUGGAUGAUGGGGGGGGGGGCCGCGGCCUCCGCAGCCCAUCUGCUGGGUCCCCGCGGCGCCGCUGCCGCCCGCCCGCCCUGGGACCGGGCGGGGGGAAGGCUGCCCGGGGUGCCGCGGGUCGCAGCCCGGCGGCCCGGGGAGGCGGCCCGGGGCAGGGGCAGAGGAGCGGCGGGAGGCGCAGGGUCCGCCGCCCCGGCCUCUUUGUCCCUGCGCUCCGCCAGCCGGGCCGGCAGUGGCGGGAGGUGGCAGAUGGCCAGUGGUAGAGGCGGCCCCAGGACCCUUGGGAACCGCGCUGAGCAUCGACUCCAACACACCCUUCCCCACCCCCACGGAAAAAAAAAAAAAAAAGGGUCCGUAGAUAGAGAAGGAGGGAGGGCGGUGGGAGGUGGGUUGCGAACUCAUAUUCGGUUUACGUAUGCGGAAAAGGAAGGAGAAGGUAAAGGCCGGGCAUCCGUCCGUCCCGGGGCACCCAGCCGUCUGCAGGGAGACAAGACGGCACCAACACGCUUCAAAGAGGCGUCCUGCGAAGCGCUAACCUCGGGGAUAGGUGGCUGGAAAGUCAUGUUCCCUGCCAAAAGCCCCAGGAGGGGCUGCCCCCUCUAUUUCUGCAGGUGCAUUUCCAGGCGGCUCCUGCGUCCCUCUGUUCUCACACUCGGUUCUUGUUUUGAAAUCCAAAAGGCUCUUCUACCAUGCCACCUCUCCCUGAUCACGAACACACACACAAACCCUCAAGCUCCUCCCUCCCACAUGAACAACAUCCUCUUCUAGGUGCAAAAGCUCUCUUACUGCUAUUAGGUCAGCCCUUAUCCCAUGCCACUUCCACGGCCCCUCUACUGCCAGCCAAAACCGAAGAGCUGCUCUCUCCACCACGCGUCUAUCUGUAUGACCUCAGUAUUUCUAUUUGUUCUGAUUUACUACUCCAGCACGGAUGGUUAAGGAGCCCUUUGGAAAGGUUCGGUUUCUUAAACUCCAGGGGGGCGGGGUGGAGGACCAGAGCAACAACACUCCAGAGGCAUUUAUGGCAUUAUACUGCACCAAUUUUGGCUACGGUUACAGCUGUAAACACAUUUAUUUCAUUCUUGUAAACCAGUUGUGAUAAAUACUGCAUAAGGCAGAGAAAAAAGGCAGGCCGCUGGGACUGUUUACUAAUAAAAGGGCUGGCAUCUUUUCAGUGCUUUUUCAGCCAGCCAAGAAAAAAAAAAAAAAAGUAUAUUUUACUAUAAAUAGAUUGGGUUUACCCCUAAAUUCCGCCGAAUCACAGCACCUCUCUUACAGUCUCCAGCAUCCUGAAAUCCUUUUUCUCUCCCUUUUUCGUGCUAUUGUCUCUUUUGUUGCAUUGCCUCCCUGGCGAGGCUUUGGGGCUUUGCUGCCUGUACUGUGCGUGGGGGCAACCUCAUGAGAAGGGCCGGAGUAGAGGGGGACACCCCCACCCUCCGGCGCGGGGGGCUGCCGCCCCUUCCCUCUGCCCGCAGGCCGACCCGGCCCCUCCGCGCCCCUCCGCGGCUCCGCUCCGCGUUUCCCGCCCGGGACUGGGGCCGAGGGGGCGAUCCCGGCGCUUUAGGCUUUUCCGUGGGAGUGUGCCCCUGCUGUGGCCCCAGGGCUCACCGGGAGACUCGGAGGCGACUCCUGCUCGCUGAAUCCCCCCUUUUAUUUUAACGAAGUUUGCGAGAAGUUUCAAUCUCGUAGCGUCUUUUCCUCUUUUUUCUUUUUUUUUAUUUUUUUAAAGCAUUGUCAGCAUCCAGAAAUCUGGGCACAAAAGUGACCCCAGUCCCUACGUGCACGUUGCAGUCCGAUUUAACCCAGUGGCAGAGGAGUUAAAAUGCCGGUAAGGCUACUCGUUUUCCGCAGGGACAGGGCUGGAGCAGAGAGAAGGACAAGAAGCAGGGCCGAGGUUUCACCGCGUCCGCAGCUCAGCCAAGCUGUUGUUUUAAAAGAGCAAUAAAAAUGAGUUAUGACUAAACGCCUUCUCACUUAAUGGUUUUAGACGGGGAUCCCCAGCCCCGGCAAAUACGUAAGAGGAUUUUUAUUUGUGCAUGUGUUCCUGCAAUUGAUCUCUUUGAUGACAUUCUCAUUCAUAGAAAGAGUUUGAUUUAUGACUUUCGGAAGAAUUGCGUUCAGCCCUUCCAGCUAUAACCCACGCGUCCCAACUCCACAACGUGUUGCAGAGCUGGGAGACAACAUUCCUCGCAUGGACGGGCAGCAGAGCCCCGGCCACAAAGCCCGCGCAAGCCCUGCUCGUCCGUGCAAUGUAACCACAGGCUCACACGCACUCACACCCAAUCACACGCACACAGGGAGACACGAUCGCACCCGCCCGGGAUCGCCCGGCCCCGGAGCGGCAGAGCCCCGCUGGCAUCUGUUGCUCGGUUUUAUCCCGAAGGACGGGGCUCACCCUCCGCUUCGGGGUCCGGCAACGCCGCUAGCCGGGUGGUGGGCAAUGUGGUGGAGAACUCUGAGAGCCCAUCUUUGCUGCCGCCAGCAGAGAGUGAGCACCCCCGAGGAAAUUGUAACUUUAAGGGCUGAUUCCUUGGACCGUUCAGCACGUGAGAAGUAACCAGGAGCAAUCUCUGUGAGCUCUGAUAUUUUUUAAGAUACGCUUCUUGAAACAGCUUGCUGGCUGCUAAGCACUACUUUCUAGAAAAACAAGAUUAUUUCCUCCCCCCCCCCAAAAAAAAAAAAAAAAAAAAAAAAAAGAGCGCCUUUCCUGUACGUAACAGGCUAGUUUCUGCAGGAGACGCUUAUCCUACCGAGUGUCUCUUAUGUUUUGCCUGUAAGGGAGAAAGUGCUCGUUCAUGCUUUUGUUACAGCUCAGCAUUUCCAAGCUUUGUAUCCUCACGGAGAUAAGAUGCUACAUUUAUACAUUAAAAGGAAGAGGUCUCCAUCAAAGCUGUGAAUGGUUUUAGUUUCUUUGGUUUGUUGUUUGGUUUGGGGUUUUUUUUCCCCUUGUGAGAGCGCUUGCAAUAAAGAUUUUGAAGGUG
Non-coding RNA from Phalacrocorax carbo (great cormorant), 4176 nucleotides. The record is from RefSeq and is a predicted model, not a curated record. Lineage: Eukaryota; Metazoa; Chordata; Aves; Suliformes; Phalacrocoracidae.